UUCUAUUGGCUUUGUGCUCCUUUACUCUAGUUUCUACUACUCCCAUGACAUCCACUUUAUUAACAGCAAGGAAAUUCUUUAAUUCCUUCUGUUUAUGGGGCUGGUUGAGGCCCCUAAUAUUCCAUGUGGCUAUAAUCAUGGAAAAGGGGGGUACCCCUGUAAGAGGGUCCUGGAUCAAUCUGCUGGACACCACUAUUUCCCACAGUCAUAGUUGCCUUCCCCUUAUCACAGUUGUUAGCUAUUUGGUCAGUAUUACCAAUAGUGACAGUCACCUCUUGAUUCAUACAUUCAUUCAGUACAUUUUGCUUGGAUUUGGCUAGGCUCUCAUCUGUUUUACUAGAUUCCUGCAUUGGCUGAUUGUCCACCACUUUAUCUGCAACUGUACCCUUAUGGAUUUCCUGCACCUCUGUUAUAGCUUGCUUGAUCUGCCAUUCUGUUUACCUAUCUGCUUGCUCUUCCCUUUCUGCUUGGGUAUUUUAUCCUGAUGCUCCCUUUCCUUAUGGUCAUUGUUAUAAGUAGAAUACCAGCAUUCAAUAUAGUCAUGCCCAAGCUUCAAACAAUGGUUGCAAAAGGAAGGUUUCCAGUCAUACUCAACUGUCUGAAUUUUUAACCAUAAGGAGUUUCAAUUUCCAGUUGGUCAGGCAGAGGAUAAGCAGCAUCCACCUCAACUAAAACUC
RNAcentral lists this long non-coding RNA (677 nucleotides) under Nicotiana benthamiana. RNAcentral describes it as "long non-coding RNA (NBEN_LNC007712)". Lineage: Eukaryota; Viridiplantae; Streptophyta; Magnoliopsida; Solanales; Solanaceae. The record is from RNAcentral.